CCUACGGGAGGCAGCAGUGAGGAAUAUUGGUCAAUGGGAGAGAUCCUGAACCAGCCAAGCCGCGUGAGGGAAGACGGCCCUAUGGGUUGUAAACCUCUUUUGUCGGGGAACAAAACCCGGGACGUGUCCCGGACUGCGUGUAUCCGAAGAAAAAGCAUAGGCUAACUCCGUGCCAGCAGCCGCGGUAAUACGGAGGAUGUGAGCGUUAUCCGGAUUUAUGGGGUUUAAAGGGUGCGUAGGCGGUCCGUUAAGUCAGCGGUAAAAUGGCGGGGCUCAACCCCGGAGAGCCGUUGAAACUGGCAGACUUGAGUUGGCGAGAAGUACGUGGAAUGCGCGGUGUAGCGGUGAAAUGCAUAGAUAUCGCGCAGAACUCCGAUUGCGAAGGCAGCGUACCGGCGCCAGACUGACGCUGAGGCACGAAAGCGUGGGGAUCGAACAGGAUUAGAUACCCUAGUAGUC
Molecule: ribosomal RNA, 459 nt
Filed under: uncultured bacterium
Lineage: Bacteria
Description: partial 16S ribosomal RNA
Rfam family: Bacterial small subunit ribosomal RNA
Source: RNAcentral